GGGGACGAAAUGGCUUUCGACGGGGGUCUUGAAGCUUUUGUUGCAUGUCGCGGGUCCCAGUCACCGCGUUAGAAAGGCUGGAAAAUGAUAAAUGCCAACGACGAUGUUGAGCUCGCUCUAGCUGCCUAAAAAUAGCUAAAGCGAUGUCUGUACUUCUCUUGCCUACGGAGAUUUACGGGCAUAACCACAGUAGGAUCGCAAGCCCAAGUUUGUUAGGAGCAAGGGUGAGUUAAAUUCAGUCCUAACUCCCCUGAACACCAGCCUGUCUGUGGGCGGGUCGAAGGGUAAAUUAAAUUACAGAAUAAACAUGUAGACGCAGGAUGUGGACGACUUGCGGACCUGGGUUCGACUCCCAGCGUCUCCACUU
Molecule: transfer-messenger RNA, 367 nt
Filed under: Myxococcales bacterium
Lineage: Bacteria; Pseudomonadati; Myxococcota; Myxococcia; Myxococcales
Also listed under: 1 other name
Rfam family: transfer-messenger RNA
About the family: Bacterial tmRNA, also known as 10Sa RNA or SsrA, is named for its dual tRNA and mRNA-like properties. Its role is to liberate the mRNA from a stalled ribosome. To accomplish this part of the tmRNA is used as a reading frame that ends in a translation stop signal.
Source: RNAcentral